RNAcentral lists this ribosomal RNA (440 nucleotides) under uncultured bacterium. RNAcentral's name for it is "partial 16S ribosomal RNA". It matches the Rfam family "Bacterial small subunit ribosomal RNA", at positions 338 to 795 of the family's 1533-position model. The record is from RNAcentral.
CCUACGGGAGGCAGCAGUGGGGAAUAUUGCACAAUGGGGGAAACCCUGAUGCAGCGACGCCGCGUGAGUGAAGAAGUACUUCGUUAUGUAAAGCUCUGUCAGCAGGGAAGAAAAUGCAGGUUCGUGAGUAAGAAUCCCCGGCCAACUACGUGCCAGCAGCCGCGGUAAUACUUCGGUGGCCAGCGUUAUCCGGAUUUACUGUGGGUAAAGGGAGCGUAGACGGGUGUGCAAGUCUGGAGUGAAAGGCGGGGGCUCAACCCGCGGACUGCUCUGGAUACUGUACGGCUGGAGUGCAGGAGAGGUAAGUGGAAUUCCUUGUGUAGCGGUGAAAUGCGUAGAUAUAAGGAGGAACACCAGUGGCGAAGGCGGCUUACUGGACUGUAACUGACGUUGAGGCUCGAAAGCGUGGGGAGCAAACAGGAUUAGAUACCCUAGUAGUC